RNAcentral lists this ribosomal RNA (114 nucleotides) under Acidaminobacter sp. JC074. RNAcentral describes it as "partial 16S ribosomal RNA". It matches the Rfam family "Bacterial small subunit ribosomal RNA", at positions 1428 to 1533 of the family's 1533-position model. The record is from RNAcentral. Lineage: Bacteria; Bacillati; Bacillota; Clostridia; Peptostreptococcales; Acidaminobacteraceae.
CAGUGAUCCAACCGCAAGGAGGAAGCUGUCGAAGGUGAAACCAAUGACUAGGGUGAAGUCGUAACAAGGUAGCCGUAUCGGAAGGUGCGGCUGGAUCACCUCCUUUCUAAGGAA